CCUGUCCACAAGCACCUGUGGGUACAUGUAGGUGUGUUGAAUUCAGGCUCGUUACAGCCGUGUUUCCGUCCGGCUGAUCACUACCAUGGUCAUCAAAUCCUGGAGCCACCGCGACGAAUCACGUGAUUUCUUUAUUAGUCUGUUUCAUGGGAUGACGAGUUUCUUUUCCCUGUCACAUACAUGCAUUGUUGCUUUUGAACACUGACCGUGGAUCUCUCAUCUAACGAUGCCAUCAUUCUGUGUAUUGUGGACAGUGCCUAACAAUGAUAUGUAAAGAUUUCUCUUUUCGAUGGAUCAGGAAGUAGAAUUGAGGAGGCUAGUUUGAUAGCAAGUUUUGUUUACUUCAAUGAGAUUGCUACCUAUACUGUACAACUGUAAACAGCACCUAUACAUGAUACCGGCAUUUAUUCUGAAAUUAUUCAGCGGAUUUACAGGUAAUGCAAAUUAAUAGCAGUGAACUUAUAUAUCUUAUCAUCACCCGUCGGCAAUUCAGUACGACAUCGAUCGUGUACCGGAAGAAAACAUAACAUUUUGUGCAUCUUAGAAAAUUGUAUGAAAAAUUUAUACAUCAAGUUCAAGUUUCUUUAUUCACUGAAACCAACAAUACGUGAUACAUGAUGUCAAGUACAUGUGAUACAUUCCAAUGGGAAAAAGGAUACAGGGAAGAGAGACACAAACAUAAUCAUGUUCACAUAAGGAGAGAAAAGAAUGGAGCGAGAGAAAAAACCCAAACAAAAUAGAUUAUAUGCAUGAGUUAUGGAGGACAGACUAAAUCGUAUAUUUUUGUUAUAAACAAACAUAGGUUUCUCAAUUUUUUAACACUUGUACUUGACAUUAUUUCAGAAAAUUUGACCACAUUUGGAUUUGUACAAUACCUUGAAUGUAAAAAUUGUUUUCUUAUGGCACACAAUGAUUUGCAUUCUAAAAUAAAAUGAAACUCGUUUA
Long non-coding RNA from Ostrea edulis (European flat oyster), 945 nucleotides. RefSeq lists it as uncharacterized. Lineage: Eukaryota; Metazoa; Mollusca; Bivalvia; Ostreida; Ostreidae. The record is from RefSeq and is a predicted model, not a curated record. The transcript has 2 exons.